This 70-nucleotide transfer RNA is filed under the name Abantennarius coccineus (scarlet frogfish). Its description in RNAcentral is "tRNA-Ile". The record is from RNAcentral. Lineage: Eukaryota; Metazoa; Chordata; Actinopteri; Lophiiformes; Antennariidae.
GGAAUCGUGCCUGAAUAAAGGGCUACUUUGAUAGAGUAGAUUAUGGGGAUUAAUACCUCCCCCGACUCCU